CUCAGGGAUCAGGCUGCUCCAUAUUCACUCUCUUUAAAAAGAUCAGCAUUCAUUUUCCUUUAAAGUUGGGGUUAGUCUGCCUGAGUUGCAUACAAAUAAGAUGAAUGAAUUCAUUACCAAAAGCUAGAUUAAGUUUUGCAGCUGUUCCGCCUGGGGAUCUAGUGGAGAGAGGGGCCAGCACAACUGAAAAUCCUUUACUGAUCAAGGCAGUCUGAAAAUGCAAUCUUACGCGCGCCUGAAUCUUCCCUGACUUCAUGAAGGAAUCAGUGAUGGCCAAGAGGAACACUAGCAGAGUAGCCAGGACAAGCGGGCAAUGAAACGGGCUGAUUGUAUUCAUGACUGUGGUCGUGACUGAGAGCUGCAGGCUCAUAUGUUGCCUGGAAGACCACCUGCUAAGUGUGAAGAUGGAUUAUGAACCAGGCAGCCAGAGUGAUGGAGGGCUGAGUGUUAAUGAGAAGAUGGAUGACUGUAUUUUUCCUUGGCAUGCAGUGGUUUCAGAGAGAGCUCUUUACUGCCGUCCCAUGGAGAAUCAAUGAAUGGCUGUGGCUGUGAGUUAGGAGGCACUGCUAGCUCUCCCACUAAGCAGGUAAGUGUGGGCACAUUGCAUAAUCUGGGGUAAGUUAAUUUGUGUGGGCCUCAGUUUCCU
This 646-nucleotide long non-coding RNA is filed under the name Felis catus (domestic cat). Its description in RNAcentral is "lncRNA (ENSFCAG00000040558.2)". Lineage: Eukaryota; Metazoa; Chordata; Mammalia; Carnivora; Felidae. The record is from RNAcentral.